GAUGAAGAACGCAGCGAAAUGCGAUAAGUAAUGUGAAUUGCAGAAUUCAGUGAAUCAUCGAAUCUUUGAACGCAUCUUGCGCUCCUUGGUAUUCUGAGGAGCAUGCCUGUUUGAGUGUCAUUAAAUUCUCAACUACACUGACUUUGAAUUGGUGUGGCUUGGAUUUGGGGGGAAAAUUGUUGUGGGCUUUUUGUAUAGUCUGCUCCCCUGAAAUUGAUUAGCGGUACCUUUGUGGAACUGUCUACAGGUGUGAUAAUUAUCUACAUCUUAGACAUCUGCUGGAAUGCUGCUUUCUAAACCUUACUUGUAUUGACAAUCUUGACCUCAUAUCAGGUAGGACUACCCGCUGAACUUAAGCAUAUCAAUAAGCGGAGGA
RNAcentral lists this unclassified non-coding RNA (376 nucleotides) under soil metagenome. RNAcentral's name for it is "partial contains 5.8S ribosomal RNA, internal transcribed spacer 2, and large subunit ribosomal RNA". The stretch from base 1 to 120 matches the Rfam family "5.8S ribosomal RNA", at positions 35 to 154 of the family's 154-position model. The record is from RNAcentral.